RNAcentral lists this unclassified non-coding RNA (621 nucleotides) under Trichophyton mentagrophytes. RNAcentral's name for it is "sequence contains 18S rRNA gene, ITS1, 5.8S rRNA gene, ITS2, 28S rRNA gene". The stretch from base 265 to 418 matches the Rfam family "5.8S ribosomal RNA". Lineage: Eukaryota; Fungi; Ascomycota; Eurotiomycetes; Onygenales; Arthrodermataceae. The record is from RNAcentral.
GAUCAUUAACGCGCAGGCCGGAGGCUGGCCCCCCACGAUAGGGCCAAACGUCCGUCAGGGGUGAGCAGAUGUGCGCCGGCCGUACCGCCCCAUUCUUGUCUACCUUACUCGGUUGCCUCGGCGGGCCGCGCUCUCUCAGGAGAGCCGUUCGGCGAGCCUCUCUUUAGUGGCUCAACGCUGGACCGCGCCCGCCGGAGGACAGACGCAAAAAAAUUCUUUCAGAAGAGCUGUCAGUCUGAGCGUUAGCAAGCAAAAAUCAGUUAAAACUUUCAACAACGGAUCUCUUGGUUCCGGCAUCGAUGAAGAACGCAGCGAAAUGCGAUAAGUAAUGUGAAUUGCAGAAUUCCGUGAAUCAUCGAAUCUUUGAACGCACAUUGCGCCCCCUGGCAUUCCGGGGGGCAUGCCUGUUCGAGCGUCAUUUCAGCCCCUCAAGCCCGGCUUGUGUGAUGGACGACCGUCCGGCGCCCCCGUCUUUGGGGGUGCGGGACGCGCCCGAAAAGCAGUGGCCAGGCCGCGAUUCCGGCUUCCUAGGCGAAUGGGCAACAAACCAGCGCCUCCAGGACCGGCCGCCCUGGCCUCAAAAUCUGUUUUAUACUUAUCAGGUUGACCUCGGAUCAGGUA